Non-coding RNA from Lentinula aff. lateritia, 88 nucleotides. NCBI's taxonomy places the organism in Eukaryota, Fungi, Basidiomycota, Agaricomycetes, Agaricales, Omphalotaceae. The record is from the annotation of a GenBank genome assembly.
CCGACCUUAGCUCAGUUGGAAGAGCACAAGACUGUAAUUGGUUGUUUGAAUAAUCUUGGGGUCGCCUGUUCGAACCAGGCAGGUCGGA